GCUUGUCUCAAAGAUUAAGCCAUGCAAGUCUAUGUAUAAAUCUUUAUACGGUGAAACUGCGAAUGGCUCAUUAUAUCAGUUAUCGUUUAUUUGAUAAUCACUGCUACUUGGAUAACUGUAGUAAUUCUAGAGCUAAUACAUGCGUCAAUGCCCGACUUUGGAAGGGCUGUGUUUAUUAGAUCCAAAACCAAUGCGGGGCAACCCGGUUACUGGUGAUUCAUAAUAACUUUCGGAUCGAUCUUCGGAUCGAUGCAUCAUUCAAGUUUCUGCCCUAUCAGCUUUGGAUGGUAGGGUAUUGGCCUACCAUGGCUUUAACGGGUAACGGAGAAUUAGGGUUCGAUUCCGGAGAGGGAGCCUGAGAAACGGCUACCACAUCCAAGGAAGGCAGCAGG
Molecule: ribosomal RNA, 392 nt
Filed under: uncultured Allapsidae
Lineage: Eukaryota; Cercozoa; Glissomonadida; Viridiraptoridae
Description: partial small subunit ribosomal RNA
Rfam family: Eukaryotic small subunit ribosomal RNA
Source: RNAcentral